Molecule: ribosomal RNA, 584 nt
Filed under: uncultured fungus
Lineage: Eukaryota; Fungi
Description: eukaryotic LSU rRNA
Rfam family: 5.8S ribosomal RNA (bases 195-349)
Source: RNAcentral
AUCAUUACAGAAUUACCGGCAAGGGUUGUAGCUGGCCUUUCGGGGCACGUGCACACCCGAGCCCUUAAUCCACACACACCUGUGAACUUACUGUAAGGGCCCUUGACGGGGGCCCCUACGUCUCAUUCAUAUACCAAGUCUUAUAGAAUGUAAACAUAUGUCCUCGCCUUAACAAAGCGUCGAUAAACCUAUACAACUUUCAACAACGGAUCUCUUGGCUCUCGCAUCGAUGAAGAACGCAGCGAAAUGCGAUAAGUAAUGUGAAUUGCAGAUUUUCAGUGAAUCAUCGAAUCUUUGAACGCACCUUGCGCUCCUUGGUAUUCCGAGGAGCAUGCCUGUUUGAGUGUCAUUAAAUUCUCAACCCCGAUUGACUUGUUUUGACCGGGGCUUGGACUUGGAGCGUGCUGGCAAAAGUCGGCUCCUCUCAAAUGCAUCGGCGGAAUUCAAUCCUUGGUUUCCGGAUGUCAGUGUGAUAAUCAUGUUGCGCUGUCCUUCGAGCCAUAGGGUCCGCUUACAAUGGUCUUCGGACAAAAUCUUUAUGAAAUUUGACCUCAAAUCAGGUAGGACUACCCGCUGAACUUAAG